AGCGAACGCUGGCGGCAGGCUUAACACAUGCAAGUCGAACGCCCCGCAAGGGGAGUGGCAGACGGGUGAGUAACACGUGGGAACGUACCCUUUGGUUCGGAAUAACUUGGGGAAACUCAAGCUAAUACCGGAUAAGCCCUUAUGGGGAAAGGUUUACUGCCGAAGGAUCGGCCCGCGUCUGAUUAGCUAGUAGGUGAGGUAAUGGCUCACCAAGGCGACGAUCAGUAGCUGGUCUGCGAGGAUGAUCAGCCACACUGGGACUGAGACACGGCCCAGACUCCUACGGGAGGCAGCAGUGGGGAAUAUUGGACAAUGGGGGCAACCCUGAUCCAGCCAUGCCGCGUGAGUGAUGAAGGCCUUAGGGUUGUAAAGCUCUUUUACCCGGGACGAUAAUGACUGUACCGGGAGAAUAAGCCCCGGCUAACUUCGUGCCAGCCGCCGCAGUAA
This 447-nucleotide ribosomal RNA is filed under the name uncultured bacterium. RNAcentral's name for it is "partial 16S ribosomal RNA". It matches the Rfam family "Bacterial small subunit ribosomal RNA", at positions 29 to 523 of the family's 1533-position model. The record is from RNAcentral.